RNAcentral lists this ribosomal RNA (497 nucleotides) under uncultured bacterium. Its description in RNAcentral is "partial 16S ribosomal RNA". It matches the Rfam family "Bacterial small subunit ribosomal RNA", at positions 28 to 507 of the family's 1533-position model. The record is from RNAcentral.
GAGGAACGCGGGCGGCGUGCCUAAUACAUGCAAGUCGAGCGAACAGACGAGGAGCUUGCUCCUCUGACGUUAGCGGCGGACGGGUGAGUAACACGUGGAUAACCUACCUAUAAGACUGGGAUAACUUCGGGAAACCGGAGCUAAUACCGGAUAAUAUAUUGAACCGCAUGGUUCAAUAGUGAAAGACGGUUUUGCUGUCACUUAUAGAUGGAUCCGCGCCGCAUUAGCUAGUUGGUAAGGUAACGGCUUACCAAGGCAACGAUGCGUAGCCGACCUGAGAGGGUGAUCGGCCACACUGGAACUGAGACACGGUCCAGACUCCUACGGGAGGCAGCAGUAGGGAAUCUUCCGCAAUGGGCGAAAGCCUGACGGAGCAACGCCGCGUGAGUGAUGAAGGUCUUCGGAUCGUAAAACUCUGUUAUUAGGGAAGAACAAAUGUGUAAGUAACUAUGCACGUCUUGACGGUACCUAAUCAGAAAGCCACGGCUAACUACGUG